RNAcentral lists this transfer RNA (85 nucleotides) under Jonquetella anthropi. It matches the Rfam family "tRNA". Rfam says of the family: Transfer RNA (tRNA) molecules are approximately 80 nucleotides in length. Their secondary structure includes four short double-helical elements and three loops (D, anti-codon, and T loops). Lineage: Bacteria; Thermotogati; Synergistota; Synergistia; Synergistales; Dethiosulfovibrionaceae. RNAcentral also lists the same sequence under 1 other name. The record is from RNAcentral.
GCGGGAGUGGCGGAAUUGGUAGACGCGCAAGACUAAGGAUCUUGUGGGGAGACCCGUGGGAGUUCAAUUCUCCCCUUCCGCACCA